CCUACGGGAGGCAGCAGUAGGGAAUCUUCCACAAUGGGCGAAAGCCUGAUGGAGCAACGCCGCGUGGGUGAAGAAGGUCUUCGGAUCGUAAAACCCUGUUGUUAGAGAAGAAAGUGCGUGAGAGUAACUGUUCACGUUUCGACGGUAUCUAACCAGAAAGCCACGGCUAACUACGUGCCAGCAGCCGCGGUAAUACGUAGGUGGCAAGCGUUAUCCGGAUUUAUUGGGCGUAAAGGGAACGCGGGCGGUCUUUUAAGUCUGAUGUUAAAGCCUUCGGCUUAACCGGAGUAGUGCAUUGGAAACGGGGAGACUUGAGUGCAGAAGAGGAGAGUGGAACUCCAGGUGUAGCGGUGAAAUGCGUAGAUAUAUGGAAGAACACCAGUGGCGAAAGCGGCUCUCUGGUCUGUAACUGACGCUGAGGUUCGAAAGCGUGGGUAGCAAACAGGAUUAGAUACCCCAGUAGUC
RNAcentral lists this ribosomal RNA (465 nucleotides) under uncultured bacterium. Its description in RNAcentral is "partial 16S ribosomal RNA". It matches the Rfam family "Bacterial small subunit ribosomal RNA", at positions 338 to 795 of the family's 1533-position model. The record is from RNAcentral.